AUUACUGGCCUGGGGGCUGGGCAGGCGGCUGUUUGCCCGGCUCCAGCCCGAAAGGUGGUGAUGGGUUAAAGAGCCGGGUUUGCUGCUGCAGGCGUGUGCUAUUCGUUGUUUCUGGCAAGCGGGACUUGGUCCUGGGAGAGAGGUGGGGCCGCCGCAGCUGAGAGCGAGCCGGGGUGCAGGCGCUGCGCUGCGCUGCGCUAGCAGCAACGGGGAAGCGGAGCGCUUGACGGGGAAGGGGAAAAGUGAGCGGAGGGGCGGUGGAUCCUCCCUUCGGAAGCCGCCUCUCUCCUGCCGCGCUUAGCCCUCGGCUCCCAGCAGGGAGUGGCCGCCUCGGGAGGGGCCCCGCGGGACAGCAGCGGUGGCAGGGGCUGAAGUCACUCAGCUCUAACAACUUGCCUAUUUCUCAACAAUAUCAAAUGCUUCUGGGAAAAAUGGGGAAACACUAAGGCCUGAUUGUCCAGUUCUGAUUGGUUCCUUUCUAGACUGAAGAAUUUGGAUCACCCUAUUUUUUAUUGGAAAAACAAGGCCCUGGGGUAGAGGCAAAAAUGUACAAAACGCCCAUCUGCGUGCUACAGCUAAGCAGGGUGGUGAUGAACCACAAGCUCUGGGCUGUGUUUAUCAUCACCUUCAAGUUCAUGUCCUUUGUCUCCAUAAUGUUUUACUGGAAAAUCACCGAGGACGCCAAAGGCAAGCGUCUGCUCUAUGGCUUGCCUCUGGAAGUCAAAUGUCCUCGAUCUGUGCCUUCUCCCCCCCCAGCUGUAUCUGGCAGGCCACCUCCACCGCCUGGGGAUAUAUUUUUUGUGGAGACCUCAGAAAAAACCAACCCAAGUUUUCUCUUUAUGUGCUCUGUCGAAUCAGCAGCCAGGGCUCACCCUGAGACCAAAGUCGUCAUCCUUAUGAAGGGCUUGGCAAACAGAAAUUUCACUCUUCCAAAACACUGGGGCUUCUCCCUGCUGAGCUGCUUCCCCAAUGUGGAAAUCCGGCCACUGGACUUGAAUGACCUUUUCUCUGGUACCCCUCUAGCUGACUGGUAUUUGGUGGCCCAGCACAGAUGGGAGCCUUAUUUCUUACCCAUACUUUCUGAUGCCUGUAGAAUUGCUAUCAUGUGGAAAUUUGGGGGUAUCUACUUAGACACAGACUUCAUAGUCCUUAAGAACUUAAAGAACCUCACCAAUGCUCUUGGAACCCAGUCCAAAUAUGUAUUGAAUGGGGCUUUUCUCUCUUUUGAAGCCAAACACAAGUUCAUAGAGCUUUGCAUGCAGGACUAUGUGGAUAAUUACAAUGGCUGGAUCUGGGGGCACCAGGGCCCACAGCUUUUAACCCGUGUUUUCAAAAAAUGGUGCUCUAUCAGGAGUCUCCGGAGCAGUAAAAGCUGUAAAGGAGUCAGUACUCUUCCCAGAGAAGCCUUUUAUCCCAUCCGCUGGCAGGACUGGAAGAAGUACUUUGAAGUGGUCAGCUCUUCAGAGCUUCACAGACUCUUCAAGAACACCUACGCGGUGCAUAUUUGGAAUAAAAAGAGUCAAGGGACAAGAUUUGAGAUCACCUCAAAAGCUUUGCUGGCUCAGCUGCAUUCCCAUUACUGCCCUUCAACAUAUGGGAUAAUGAAGAAGUAUUUUUGAAAGGAAUUGAUUGACCCACCUGUCACCUAACUGAACAAAGGAAGUAGCCAAAACUGUUCAGCCUUCCAAGCAAAAAUGUACAUUUGAAAGCGCUUAUAUCUCUGUGAAUCAUCAAUCACCAGGCGGUGUGAUGUAGUGAAAUUCAAAGAUAAAUGUAGGGCAGGCUGAAUGGACAGUGGCUGAUCCAGCGCUCCAUUUCAUGAACAUGACUAAUGCUGAAUCUUAAUGGGAUGGUAUCAUCUGGCACUUCUGGAAAACUGCUCUAAGUCGUGAUCCGACCAACACUGCUGACUGCUCUGGCUCUGUCUGACCUUCAAGUCUGCAGCUGCUUCGGGGCUUUUUCGGCUUCCCAGCUCAACCACAAGCAAGCACAGAUUUGCUCAGCUGAGCCAAAGAUAUGUAUAAAACAAAAGACAGCCUGAAGCAUAGCAGGCCAAAAUCUUUCUUUCUUCCUUUCUUUCUUUACUUGCAACCACCCCAAUGACAAAUAGCAGAGCAACAGGACCCUAACCUACUAUGGAACUCAUCCCCCUCACUUCACAAGGCUAUGAAUAAUCAGGUGUGGUUUAUUUUUCUCUCUCAACCUUAGGUCACGUUCUUAGCUUUACUCUCCUUUUCCUGUGUCUUAAAGUCAUUUUGAUCUUGUUGGUUUCCCCUCAGUCCUCAACCCUGAAAACUUCAGAAUACACACACUUUUUUUUUUUUGAAAAAAGUGUGUACUUACCAAAACCCAACAAUGUCUAAGAGCAUAGGAACUGUGUUCUUACACAGCCCAUGAGGCUGCUGUAUGAUGGUAUCCUGUCUCCCAGCCACUGGAGCCAAUGUUGGCUAUUUCAGAGGAAGGCAAACUGCGUACCCAUUGUAACUUUGCAACACUAUAUGCUGGGGAUCUUCCUGAGCCCUACCUCAUGAACAUUUUAUAUCUGAGACAUUAGCGGUGAUAGCCCUUGUAUUUUUUUUUCCAGCUUGUGUCAGUGCAGCUGCUAUUCCUGUCCAUAUAAAUGGAUAGAAAUGCAAGAAAUUGCCAGGUUGGAACAGAUCCCUGGUCUGGGUAGUAUGGUAUCCUAUUCCUGGUAUUUCUCUUUUACAUGGCCUCAGUCCAGCUGAGCAAUGAAAUGUUAGCUGAGCCAGGGACAGCUUAAUGGUCAAGGCAUAGACUUCUUUUGGUCAGGCUGCAUCACAAAGUGUGCACUUUAUUUGGUCACACUCGUUGCCUCUGAAUUUCAUGUAAAAUAUAGCACUGCUUAUGUGAAAAAGUGCCUUUUCAUAGAAUGGCCUAUUUCUCUGCAACUCACAACCUGCAUAAAGAGCUUUGCACUAAUCCCAUGUUCUCUCCACUGCUGUAAAUAGAAUAGAGGUCAGUUGUUAAAUUGGGAGGGAGUCCCUCUGUCCUAGUAGAACAUGGGAAAUUGCGUCAGUUGUGUCCUGGCAGAUUAGCUUGCAGUAUGUUAGGAAAAUUCUAAAUUUAGGAUUUGAGUGGAACAUUGUUGAUUCAUGGCAGCUUAAUAUCAGGCUAAAGGAAGAGGCCAAUCUAGUCUGCAGUGAAAUGCAUAAUAAAGUCCUUUGCACAUUAAGGAUCACGUGCCUUGAAUAUCUCCAUUCUGACUGCUGCCUUAGUGGUACUAAUCAUACAGAUAAAAGGGGUGCCCAGUGGAAUUCAAAUGUUUCAUUUGCCUGGUGUUUCCUUUUCCAUUUUGAGGAAAAUGAAUACAGUAUCCCUCUCUCAUCCAUGCAUGAGGAAACAGACUUGAGCCAGUAGUGGUUGUAUUGGAGCCAUUUGCCCCUAUUGUCCCGCCUCAAGGGUUAAAUAGAUCUGGUUUAGAAAAAACAAUUGGAUAGAACACUCUUCUGUCAUAAUGCAGUUUUGACUAAAUCAAAACUUUUUGCAGGAACAUACAGAUUUUUGAUUACAUUUUGCAGUGGGUAAAAGUCAAAACAAUGUGUUCAGAGUAAGUUUGAUUUUUGUUGUUGUUUUUGGCUUUUGGUAUUAUAUUAAAAUACAUAUAUGUAACAUUUUAAUAUGGUAUAAAAGUCACAACAAAAUGAAUUGAAAUGACACUUUUAAAAUGAAAUGGUUUUACAUUGAUGAAACAUUUCAAAGCUAUUGAAAUUAAAUGUUUAGAUGGUCCCAAGUUGAUUUUUUUCCCCCUUCUUGAUUUUUGGUUCACAGGAAUCUACAAAAUUUUGGCUUUUCGGUUUGGUUUGGAGCAAUUUUUUUGGUCAGACUCUCCUGCAGAAUGAAAAUUGUGGCUCCCAACCAGCUCUAAUAAGCUGUAAUGUUGUCUGAAGCACCAGCCAAAUGCAGUUCAAUGUGGAAGAAUCAUCAUUGAGAAGGGAAAGGGAAAAUUUGGUUGUGGUUUUAAAAAAAAGUUCAAAAUAAGCUGGAAACGAUCCACUGUGACCUUUUGUUAGUCAGAUAAGCAAGCAUCUAUGUCUUUCCCUGAAGACUGUCAAAAUUUAACUGGUGCUCCUGUUACUUAGCUUGCACUGAAAUAUGGAAACCGGUGGGAACUUUCUUUAAGCUGUAGCCAGGAUUUGCACUGAUAAUCGAAGGUAGAGAUGAACAGUUCACUGUGAUCUUUUCUCACCUUUUUCAGGGUACAGUCUUUACAAGGCAACCUGGGUCAGGAUUUUCACUUCUAGGCAAAGGAAGCUCCUGAAAUAUUGCAGCCCCCUCUGGGGUGAAAAAAGCUUUAAAAUUUUUUUUUGUUUUGUUUUUGGCGUGGAUAGAGACCACAGGCACCAUUUUUAUUGCCAGAGGUCCUAAGUAGAAAUCCUGGCAUAUUUUUUAAAUCAAGAAUUAGUGCUGCUGUUGUCUGGAUUUAUGCCAUUUGAUGCCUUUUCAGAGAUUCAUCCUCUUCUUAAAAGAGAUAAACCAAAGCAGCCUUUGGCCUUUUCCUAUUGUUCAAUGUUUAUGGGGGGAAAAUAAAUGUAAUUUUUACCUUUUUAUUUCAUGUUUCUACAAAAAAAGUUUCAUUUUGUUUUUCAAGUGAUUGUUGGAAACUUUAUUAUAAACUGCAUGUUAUUGUCUAGACAAGAAAUUUUCAUCUUAUCACUAGAAACAACUUGAUUACAUUUAGCAGUGUUGAAAUAGCAUUAGACUAGCUGAGUUUAAGCAAUUUUUAAGAUAUAAAUUAUGGCAUGCAGGCUGGAUGCGUAGGCAGUUGGUAAUGUCAGUGCAAAAUAUUCAGCUCCUGUUCUCUAUCCAGCGUUAUGAUGACCAUACAAAAUGACUAUUUAUUUGGUAACCUAUGUAAAAUAAGCUUGGUGAUCUUGGUCCAGAAAAUGGACAGAUCCACACCAUAAGAAAUUGUAUUGCAAUUUACACUACUCUUAUCAGUGAGGUCAAUAAUCAGGGCCCUAAAUUAGCACUGACCACCCUCUUAGUCUUAAUAGUGGAAAGUUUGCACUUCCAUUGCCCUACCUAUAUUUGUGGACCUGAUCCAAGGCCUGUUGAAGUCAAGGGGAGUCUUUCCAGUGACUUCAAUGUUUUUUGAGCAAGGCAAUGGAUGAAUAAAGGACCUUGUGCACCAGUACUGUCAUUUUGAUCCCCAAACUGGCUUAUUUGCAAAAUGAAAUAUGUAGCUCCCGGGUUUGUCUUGUAUCCUGUUGAGGUUCAGAUAGGCAGUGAAAUUGGCAGGUUUAUAAACACCCAACCCCAGCGCCAAUAUACAAAUACUUGAUAACAAGUUUUCAAUUAUUAAAUACUAGCUCAGCUUUAUUUCUCUAGCUUUGCAAUGGUAGCUUGUGUGUUCUGUUGUUCCCGAAAGUGUAUCUGAUGAUAAAAUCAUUUCCAGUAUGUUCAAAUCAUGUUGUUAAUAGCAAAGUGACUGAAGUUUUACUGUGACCACACUGAAUCAUGAAUGAAGGGAACAGAUUUCACUUUUAAUGUGCAAAUAUUAAACAUGUUGUUUAAAUACUAAA
Molecule: RNA transcript, 5543 nt
Organism: Mauremys reevesii (Reeves's turtle)
Lineage: Eukaryota; Metazoa; Chordata; Testudines; Geoemydidae
Gene: A4GALT
Gene name: alpha 1,4-galactosyltransferase (P blood group)
Exons: 4
Source: RefSeq, a predicted model, not a curated record